Molecule: ribosomal RNA, 1251 nt
Filed under: Candidatus Phytoplasma asiaticum
Lineage: Bacteria; Bacillati; Mycoplasmatota; Mollicutes; Acholeplasmatales; Acholeplasmataceae
Description: bacterial SSU rRNA
Rfam family: Bacterial small subunit ribosomal RNA
Source: RNAcentral
CGUUGGAAACAGUGGCUAAGACUGGAUAGGAAGAUAAAAGGCAUCUUUUAUCUUUUAAAAGACCUAGUAAUAGGUAUGCUUUAGGAGGGGCUUGCGCCAUAUUAGUUAGUUGGUAGGGUAAUGGCCUACCAAGACGAUGAUGUGUAGCUGGACUGAGAGGUUGAACAGCCACAUUGGGACUGAGACACGGCCCAAACUCCUACGGGAGGCAGCAGUAGGGAAUUUUCGGCAAUGGAGGAAACUCUGACCGAGCAACGCCGCGUGAAUGACGAAGUACUUCGGUAUGUAAAGUUCUUUUAUCAAGGAAGAAAAGCAAAUGGCGAACCAUUUGUUUGCCGGUACUUGAUGAAUAAGCCCCGGCUAAUUAUGUGCCAGCAGCCGCGGUAAGACAUAAGGGGCAAGUGUUAUCCGGAAUUAUUGGGCGUAAAGGGUGCGUAGGCGGUCUAGUAAGUCAGUGGUGUAAUGGCAACGCUUAACGUUGUCCGGCUAUUGAAACUGCUAAACUUGAGUUAGAUAGAGGCGAGUGGAAUUCCAUGUGUAGCGGUAAAAUGCGUAAAUAUAUGGAGGAACACCAGAGGCGUAGGCGGCUCGCUGGGUCUUAACUGACGCUGAGGCACGAAAGCGUGGGGAGCAAACAGGAUUAGAUACCCUGGUAGUCCACGCCGUAAACGAUGAGUACUAAGUGUCGGGUUAAACCGGUACUGAAGUUAACACAUUAAGUACUCCGCCUGAGUAGUACGUACGCAAGUAUGAAACUUAAAGGAAUUGACGGGACUCCGCACAAGCGGUGGAUCAUGUUGUUUAAUUCGAAGAUACCCGAAAAACCUUACCAGGUCUUGACAUGUUUUUGCAAAAUGAUAGUAAUAUCGUGGAGGUUACCAGAAACACAGGUGGUGCAUGGUUGUCGUCAGCUCGUGUCGUGAGAUGUUAGGUUAAGUCCUAAAACGAGCGAAACCCUUAUCGUUAGUUGCCAGCACGUUAUGGUGGGGACUUUAACGAGACUGCCAAUGAUAAAUUGGAGGAAGGUGAGGAUCACGUCAAAUCAGCAUGCCCCUUAUGACCUGGGCUACAAACGUGAUACAAUGGCUGUUACAAAGGGUAGCUGAAACGCAAGUUCUUGGCCAAUCCCCAAAAACAGUCCCAGUCCGGAUUGAAGUCUGCAACUCGACUUCAUGAAGUUGGAAUCGCUAGUAAUCGCGAAUCAGCAUGUCGCGGUGAAUACGUUCUCGGGGUUUGUACACACCGCCCGUC